GAUGAACGCUGGCGGCGUGCCCAUCCAUGCAAGUCGCGCGAACAGACGAGGAGCUUGCUCCUCUGACGUUAGCGGCGGACGGGUGGGUAACACGUGGAUAACCUACCUAUAAGACUGGGAUAACUUCGGGAAACCGGAGCUAAUACCGGAUAAUAUAUUGAACCGCAUGGUUCAAUAGUGAAAGGCGGUUUUGCUGUCACUUAUAGAUGGAUCCGCGCCGCAUUAGCUAGUUGGUAAGGUAACGGCUUACCAAGGCGACGAUGCGUAGCCGACCUGAGAGGGUGAUCGGCCACACUGGAACUGAGACACGGUCCAGACUCCUACGGGAGGCAGCAGUAGGGAAUCUUCCGCAAUGGGCGAAAGCCUGACGGAGCAACGCCGCGUGAGUGAUGAAGGUCUUCGGAUCGUAAAACUCUGUUAUUAGGGAAGAACAAAUGUGUAAGUAACUAUGCACGUCUUGACGGUACCUAAUCAGAAAGCCACGGCUAACUACGUG
RNAcentral lists this ribosomal RNA (496 nucleotides) under uncultured bacterium. RNAcentral describes it as "partial 16S ribosomal RNA". It matches the Rfam family "Bacterial small subunit ribosomal RNA", at positions 28 to 507 of the family's 1533-position model. The record is from RNAcentral.